AUGCUCACUUCAGCAGCACUUAUACUAAAAUUGGAAUGAUACAGAGAAGAUUAGCAUGACCCCUACACAAGGACGACACCCAAAUUCGUGAAGCGUUCGAUAUUUUU
This is a small nuclear RNA of Sorex fumeus (smoky shrew), 107 nucleotides long. The record is from RefSeq and is a predicted model, not a curated record. Lineage: Eukaryota; Metazoa; Chordata; Mammalia; Eulipotyphla; Soricidae.